ACCCGGGAUGGAACUUGCGGCUUAAUUUGAUUCAACACGGGGAGAAUUACCCGGUCCCGGAAACUAUGAAGACUAAUAGAUCGAGAGUUCUUUCUUAAUUCGGUGGUUAGUGGUAUAUGGCCGUUCCUUGUUGAUGGAAUGAUUUGCUUGAGUUACUCCAAUAUCGAGC
Molecule: non-coding RNA, 169 nt
Filed under: Gongylonema pulchrum
Lineage: Eukaryota; Metazoa; Nematoda; Chromadorea; Rhabditida; Gongylonematidae
Description: Eukaryotic small subunit ribosomal RNA
Rfam family: Eukaryotic small subunit ribosomal RNA
Source: Rfam by way of RNAcentral